This 250-nucleotide ribosomal RNA is filed under the name uncultured bacterium. RNAcentral describes it as "partial 16S ribosomal RNA". It matches the Rfam family "Bacterial small subunit ribosomal RNA", at positions 237 to 504 of the family's 1533-position model. The record is from RNAcentral.
UGGAUUAGCCAGUUGGCAGGGUAACGGCCUACCAAAGCGACGAUCCAUAGCCGGCCUGAGAGGGUGAACGGCCACAUUGGGACUGAGACACGGCCCAGACUCCUACGGGAGGCAGCAGUGGGGAAUAUUGCACAAUGGGGGAAACCCUGAUGCAGCGACGCCGCGUGAGCGAAGAAGUAUUUCGGUAUGUAAAGCUCUAUCAGCAGGGAAGAUCAUGACGGUACCUGACUAAGAAGCCCCGGCUAACUAC